Pelobates cultripes (western spadefoot toad) is the source of this 228-nucleotide non-coding RNA. Lineage: Eukaryota; Metazoa; Chordata; Amphibia; Anura; Pelobatidae. The record is from the annotation of a GenBank genome assembly.
CUUAUCUAUGGUCCAGUGAGACAAACACAGUAUCUAUCAAAAUAAUUGAUCUGUCACAAAUCAGUUGCAGUCAUUAUUGUUUAACCUAUUACUGUAACUAUUCAGUUGUGGCAUGAUGAGGUCCUUAGUUAAGUUGUGUUGACUACAUUUAUAUAGUUAUGAUUUAUGAAGCGUGUCAAAGUACAAUUUGACAAACACGUACAUUUUAGCAAAGGUCCAAUAACUAGG